UCGUAACCGUAGCCCCUGGUUACAGUAAAUAAUUCGUUAACCAGAGUUACCGUUACGAUU
RNAcentral lists this microRNA precursor (60 nucleotides) under Blattella germanica (German cockroach). RNAcentral's name for it is "Bge-Novel-20_pre stem-loop". The record is from RNAcentral. Lineage: Eukaryota; Metazoa; Arthropoda; Insecta; Blattodea; Blattellidae.